GGAUUAUAACACAAAGGGGAAGAAGUAUUUAAAGCAAUCUAUGUAAAAUUCCUCUAUAAGCUUGCUAUUAUUAUUUUCUGGUAUCAUAGUUACUAUGCUUUUUGUUGAUGACAAAGGGGGAGAUAUAUAUGAAUUGAUAAACACUGCCAUGAUUAGAAAUACUAUGAAUGAUGCUAUAAACACUGCUAUGAUUAUGCCAUCCUUGCAUCACCAAGAGAUAUAUGAACAUGUGCUAAAGUUUGCAUUAUGCCCUGAGUUGAUAUCUUAUCAUGUGAAGAAAAUGCAAAACUUGCUAGAAUAUUUCAAAUGUGUGCAUCAUGUAAUAAGUUUCACAGCUUUAUAUGAUAAUGUUCAAACUACAUGAUGAAUAGUUACAAACACAAUCAUACAAACUUGAUGAUGUAUGUCAAGCCCUGACAUCAUCUUUGAAGAGAUAUAUCAUGAUGAGUAUCAUGAUGGGAGUAUUGAUAAGUUUAACUGAUCUAACUUAUCAAUACGUCACUUGAAUUCUUAAGUCUUGAAUUCAAGGUUGACUUAUCUCAACGAUGGCAUAUAGACAGGGGGAGUUAAGGAUAACUCCAUUAUCAAUUGAUUGUCAUCAUCAAAAAGGG
RNAcentral lists this long non-coding RNA (611 nucleotides) under Musa acuminata (dwarf banana). RNAcentral describes it as "long non-coding RNA (MACU_LNC005779)". The record is from RNAcentral. Lineage: Eukaryota; Viridiplantae; Streptophyta; Magnoliopsida; Zingiberales; Musaceae.